GAUGAACGCUGGCGGCGUGCCUAAUACAUGCAAGUCGAGCGAACGGACGAGAAGCUUGCUUCUCUGAUGUUAGCGGCGGACGGGUGAGUAACACGUGGAUAACCUACCUAUAAGACUGGGAUAACUUCGGGAAACCGGAGCUAAUACCGGAUGAUAUUUUGAACCUCAUGGUUCAAAAGUGAAAUACGGUCUUGCUGUCACUUAUAGAUUGAUCCGCGCUGCAUUAGCUAGUUGGUAAGGUAACGGCUUACCAAGGCAACGAUGCGUAGCCGACCUGAGAGGGGGAGGCGCGCCACUGAGAGUGAGACACGACAGAGACACUGAGAGGCGGCAGCGGCAGGGAAGUGUGCGAAAGGUGCGAAAUAUUGAACGAUCAACACCGGCCGAGUGAUGAAGGUCCUCGUAUCGGAAAAAGCUGUUAGGAUGGAAGACCACAUGCGUAAGGAACUAGGCACGUUGUGACGGUACCUAAAUAGAAAGCCACGGCUAACUACGUG
RNAcentral lists this ribosomal RNA (497 nucleotides) under uncultured bacterium. RNAcentral describes it as "partial 16S ribosomal RNA". It matches the Rfam family "Bacterial small subunit ribosomal RNA", at positions 28 to 507 of the family's 1533-position model. The record is from RNAcentral.